UCUUUUAAAGUAAAAUUUACAUUUAAUUUCGACUUAAAAAUUGAUUAUCAAAAUCUAAAAGAA
Molecule: transfer RNA, 63 nt
Filed under: Lasius fuliginosus
Lineage: Eukaryota; Metazoa; Arthropoda; Insecta; Hymenoptera; Formicidae
Description: tRNA-Arg
Source: RNAcentral